AUUGAACGCUGGCGGCAGGCCUAACACAUGCAAGUCGAACGAGUGGCGGACGGGUGAGUAAUGUCUGGGAAACUGCCCGAUGGAGGGGGAUAACUACUGGAAACGGUAGCUAAUACCGCAUACCAUCGGAUGUGCCCAGAUGGGAUUAGCUAGUAGGUGGGGUAAUGGCUCACCUAGGCGACGAUCCCUAGCUGGUCUGAGAGGAUGACCGGCCACACCGGAACGGAGACACGGUCCGAAGUCCUACGGGAGGCGGCAGUGGGGAAUAUUGCACAAUGGGCGCAGGCCUGAUGCAGCAAUGCCGGGUGUAUGAGGAGGGCCUUCGGGUUGUAAAGUACUUUCGGCGAGGAGGCGUUACUCGCAGAGGAAGCACCGGCUAACUCCGUGCCAGCAGCCGCGGUAAUUC
RNAcentral lists this ribosomal RNA (406 nucleotides) under uncultured bacterium. RNAcentral's name for it is "partial 16S ribosomal RNA". It matches the Rfam family "Bacterial small subunit ribosomal RNA", at positions 29 to 526 of the family's 1533-position model. The record is from RNAcentral.